GACGAACGCUGGCGGCGUGCUUAACACAUGCAAGUCGAACGAAGCUUGAUUACGGAUUCUUCGGUUGAAGUAUGAUAUGACUGAGUGGCGGACGGGUGAGUAACGCGUGAGUAACCUGCCCUUCAGAGGGGGAUAGCGUUUGGCAACGAACGGUAAUACCGCAUAAUGUAUUUUGACCGCAUGAUCGAAAUACCAAAGAUUUAUCGCUGAAGGAUGGACUCGCGUCUGAUUAGGUAGUUGGUGGGGUAACGGCCGACCAAGCCGACGAUCAGUAGCCGGACAGAGAGGUUGCGCUGCCACAUCGGGACUGAGACACGGCCCAGACUCCUACGGGAGGCAGCAGUGGGGAAUAUUGCACAAUGGGCGCAAGCCUGAUGCAGCAACGCGGCGUGAAGGAAGACGGUUUUCGGAGUGUAAACUUCUGUUCUUAGUGAAGAAUAAUGACGGUAGCUAAGGAGCAAGCCACGGCUAACUACGUG
Molecule: ribosomal RNA, 479 nt
Filed under: uncultured bacterium
Lineage: Bacteria
Description: partial 16S ribosomal RNA
Rfam family: Bacterial small subunit ribosomal RNA
Source: RNAcentral